This 251-nucleotide ribosomal RNA is filed under the name uncultured prokaryote. RNAcentral describes it as "partial 16S rRNA". It matches the Rfam family "Bacterial small subunit ribosomal RNA", at positions 525 to 775 of the family's 1533-position model. The record is from RNAcentral.
ACGUAUGGGGCUAGCGUUGUUCGGAAUUACUGGGUGUAAAGGGUGUGUAGGCGGCCGUUUAAGUCGCGUGUGAAAUCCCAGGGCUCAACUCUGGGAGUGCGUGCGAUACUGGCUGUCUUGAGGUCGGGAGAGGAGAGCGGAAUUCCCGGUGUAGCGGUAAAAUGCGUAGAGAUCGGGAGGAACACCAGCGGCGAAGGCGGCUCACUGGACCGGAUCUGACGCUAAGAUGCGAAAGCGUGGGGAGCGAACAG